UGUCGGGACGACACACGUUUCUGUCCUGGAUGAAGAAGGACUGGCUGUCUCUGCCACCAGCACCAUAAACCAAGUUUUUGGAGGAGGUGUUUACUCUCCGCGAACAGGCAUCAUCCUGAACAAUGAGCUGUUGGACUUCUGUCGCAGAGCAGAUACAGUGAGGGCAGGUGAACAGCCUCCUUCCUCAAUGACUCAAAGUCUGGAGGACUUUUUGUGAUUGGUGGAUCGGGAGGAAGCUUGAUAACCUCAGCAGUGGCCUUG
Long non-coding RNA from Trematomus bernacchii (emerald rockcod), 261 nucleotides. RefSeq lists it as uncharacterized. Lineage: Eukaryota; Metazoa; Chordata; Actinopteri; Perciformes; Nototheniidae. The transcript has 3 exons. The record is from RefSeq and is a predicted model, not a curated record.